CUGCCGGGGUUCACCGCUAUUGGAGUUCGCCUAAGCCAUGCAAGUCGAGAGGGUUCGGCCCUCGGCGUACCGCUCAGUAACACGCGGAUAAUCUAACCUAUGGUGAGGGAUAAUCUCGGGAAACUGAGGCUAAUACCUCAUAGAUCAGAUAUGCUGGAAUGCUUUCUGGUCCAAAGCUGAGGCGCCAUAGGAUGAGUCUGCGGCCUAUCAGGUAGUAGUGAGUGUAACGGACUCACUAGCCGACGACGGGUACGGGCUGUGGAAGCAGUCGCCCGGAGAUGGAUUCUGAGACACGAAUCCAGGCCCUACGGGGCGCAGCAGGCGCGAAAACUUUACACUGCAGGAAACUGCGAUAAGGGAACUCCAAGUGUCUAUGCUUCGCAUAGUCUGUUUUCCUGUCCAAAAAACAGGGAGAGUAAGGGCUGGGUAAGACGGGUGCCAGCCGCCGCGGUAAUACCCGCAGCCCGAGUGGUGAACACUUUUAUUGGGCCUAAAGCGUCCGUAGCCGGUCUGGUAAAUCCUUGGGUAAAUCGUACGGCCUAACCGUACGAAUUCUGGGGAGACUGUCAGACUUGGGACCGGGAGAGGUUAGAGGUACUCCAGGGGUAGGGGUGAAAUCCUGUAAUCCUUGGAGGACCACCGGUGGCGAACGCGUCUAACUAGAACGGAUCCGACGGUGAGGGACGAAGCCGUGGGGCACAAACCGGGAUUAGAUACCCGGGUAGUCCACGGUGUAAACGCUGCGGGCUUGGUGUUGGGGGUCCUAAGGGGGCGCCC
RNAcentral lists this ribosomal RNA (777 nucleotides) under uncultured archaeon. RNAcentral's name for it is "bacterial SSU rRNA". It matches the Rfam family "Archaeal small subunit ribosomal RNA", at positions 14 to 796 of the family's 1478-position model. The record is from RNAcentral.